UACGAAGGGGGCUAGCGUUGCUCGGAAUCACUGGGCGUAAAGCGCACGUAGGCGGCUUUCUAAGUCAGGGGUGAAAUCCUGGAGCUCAACUCCAGAACUGCCUUUGAUACUGGAGAGCUCGAGUCCGGGAGAGGUGAGUGGAACUCCGAGUGUAGAGGUGAAAUUUGUAGAUAUUCGGAAGAACACCAGUGGCGAAGGCGGCUCACUGGCCCGGUACUGACGCUGAGGUGCGAAAGCGUGGGGAGCAAACAGG
RNAcentral lists this ribosomal RNA (253 nucleotides) under uncultured bacterium. RNAcentral describes it as "partial 16S ribosomal RNA". It matches the Rfam family "Bacterial small subunit ribosomal RNA", at positions 524 to 776 of the family's 1533-position model. The record is from RNAcentral.